CGGGUUCAAGUCCCUCUAUCCCCA
RNAcentral lists this transfer RNA (24 nucleotides) under Neoregelia cruenta. RNAcentral describes it as "partial tRNA-Leu". Lineage: Eukaryota; Viridiplantae; Streptophyta; Magnoliopsida; Poales; Bromeliaceae. The record is from RNAcentral. RNAcentral also lists the same sequence under 1 other name.